GCACCGUUGGGGCAGUUGUGUCCCACUACAAGGAGUAGGGGAGUCCCCCCCUACUUGGGUCUCCCACUUGUCUCGCAUGCCUCAGAGCGGCUCUCAGCAGGAGCCCAGUCCGCGCCGAACUUGGACUGGGACUUCUCUUGCUAGGUGUUCCCUACUACAGGAAACUGGAUAAAGAAUCGCCGUGUCCUCGUUUCCAGCAAACCCUCGGGUUUCAAGAUUCUCGUCCAUAUUGGUGACCUUUAACCUGACAGGUCUGUCAGCUGGGCCUCACAGAGAUGGAUAAUUGUCUUAUGCAGCUCCAGGAGUGGAAGAUCCCAUUUUGGAUACCAGUGCAUUGAACUGAGCCACACUGGCUUUCCUUGUCAGAGAGGCAGGCUAGGUAGCACUUCAGAAAUCACAGAAAUUUCCCAAACCUCAAACGUUGCGAAUAAAGGAGAUAAUAAAGGGACACAUCAGAUGGGCACAGCUCUUGGUCCCACUAACAUCCCCCCGGUGUGCUCAAGCACCCUGCCUUUCAUUUUCAGCACACUCUACUCCUAUCAUCUUUCCUCUGCCUUAAUUUUUUUCCCCUUUGUGAUAACAGCUACCAUCACUUUCAGGUAAUACAAUCUAGCACCCCUGUUGUUCCUUUUAUGGAAAUUCUAGCCACUGCAAGUACAUGUGGUACU
Molecule: long non-coding RNA, 668 nt
Organism: Callorhinus ursinus (northern fur seal)
Lineage: Eukaryota; Metazoa; Chordata; Mammalia; Carnivora; Otariidae
Source: RefSeq, a predicted model, not a curated record